Long non-coding RNA from Carassius auratus (goldfish), 1179 nucleotides. RefSeq lists it as uncharacterized. The transcript is spliced from 3 exons. NCBI's taxonomy places the organism in Eukaryota, Metazoa, Chordata, Actinopteri, Cypriniformes, Cyprinidae. The record is from RefSeq and is a predicted model, not a curated record.
GUGUAAUUCAUUAUCCCAACAAUCCCACUUUAUUACAAUUUAAUGCAACCUCAGUGUAUCAUAGUCAGGGAAUGAGGAUUUAAUUUAAAACCCAUUUUUAUAAAAGAAAGUGAGUCAGAGUGAGUCUUUGUUCUCAUGACACCAGAUAAUGGAGAGUUUCUGUUCAGUGAUUGCCAGGUGUUUUCAUACCACUGAAGCAAAGACUGUUUUUGAUAUAAUAUACUACACUAUAGAUACAAUCAAGAACUGGUCUGAUUAUAACAAUAGACAAACAGAAAGAAUGGAGAAUUUGGGCCUGUGUGUGUUCUUACCAUGCCAUCAGCCAAUCAGAGUUGUCAUGAUGUCACCAAUCAGGAAAAAUGGCCAACCAAACAAGUGCUUUAAAAAUGAAUAGGAAUGCUAAUGGCUAGCGUUUUCUUCCAGCGAUUUUCUAAUUCAGAAAGCCCAAACUGCAGCUCGAGGAAGGAAAGCUAAUGACUAGCCUUAAUGGAGAAGUGCAUGGUGGGGGAGCUGUCAGUCAAAACGUGUCAGCAGCCGUAUGUGGCAACAAUUAACGCCUACAAGAUAAGAAGCUGGCCAACAAAUUCCAUGCUGACAAGCGAUUCACACAUGCAAGUUUGCCAAGGCAAGUUCUGACAGGUGUUAAAAUACAGACGCGGAUGUGAACACUCGCAUAGAACCAUCUAGGCCGCUGGCAGAGAAGAAGACUGAUCGCAUAUGUGUGGAUGGCUUGCACUUUCUAGCUGCAAGAGAAUUCAGAGCCAAUGGCGUCUUCUGCCCAAUAAAGCGCUGUCACUUCUCUACAGUCAUCAGACUUUGUGCUUUCCAUUUAAGGGAUUCGUGUUCACACACUCAGCUAUCACAUCAGCAUCAGAAAUGUCAAGCGGAAAGAGAGAAAUCAGGCCGUGCAAGUGGUCUCGUCUAGAAUCUGCAAUCACAGAUACAAAGUCCUUUCAAGAAAGUUACAACCAAGUAAACAACUGGCUUCUCUCAGUUCAGGACAUUCAAAGGUCAUGGAUGUGUCAAAGGAUGAGCGAAUGUCAGAGAAAAAAGAAAUGAGACAGUCUUAUAGCAGUGGACUGGACCAAUGUUCAGCAUUAUUUGGAGAAACAUAAAGAGACGAUAAAUGGUUGAAUCUCAUUCGACUACAAAAUAAAAUUUUAAAAAUGGUAUCAAAAA